Molecule: ribosomal RNA, 435 nt
Filed under: uncultured bacterium
Lineage: Bacteria
Description: partial 16S ribosomal RNA
Rfam family: Bacterial small subunit ribosomal RNA
Source: RNAcentral
AGCGAACGCUGGCGGCAGGCUUAACACAUGCAAGUCGAGCGGGCACUUUCGGGUGUCAGCGGCGGACGGGUGAGUAACGCGUGGGAACGUGCCCUCUGGUUCGGAAUAACUCAGGGAAACUUGAGCUAAUACCGGAUACGCCCUUUUGGGGAAAGGCUUGCUGCCGGAGGAUCGGCUCGCGUCUGAUUAGCUAGUUGGUGAGGUAACGGCUCACCAAGGCGACGAUCAGUAGCUGGUCUGAGAGGAUGAUCAGCCACACUGGGACUGAGACACGGCCCAGACUCCUACGGGAGGCAGCAGUGGGGAAUAUUGGACAAUGGGCGCAAGCCUGAUCCAGCCAUGCCGCGUGAGUGAUGAAGGUCUUAGGGUUGUAAAGCUCUUUUAUCCGGGACGAUAAUGACGGUACCGGAGGAAUAAGCCCCGGCUAACUUCGUG